Molecule: transfer RNA, 71 nt
Filed under: Nanobdellota archaeon
Lineage: Archaea; Nanobdellati; Nanobdellota
Description: tRNA-Val
Rfam family: tRNA
About the family: Transfer RNA (tRNA) molecules are approximately 80 nucleotides in length. Their secondary structure includes four short double-helical elements and three loops (D, anti-codon, and T loops).
Source: RNAcentral
GGGCGCAUAGUCUAGUGGCAAAACUCCUCGUUUACACCGAGGUAUCCGCGGUUCGAUCCCGCGUGCGCCCA